Molecule: transfer RNA, 68 nt
Filed under: marine eukaryotic metagenome
Rfam family: tRNA
About the family: Transfer RNA (tRNA) molecules are approximately 80 nucleotides in length.
Source: RNAcentral
GCCUAUAGCUCAGCUGGUUAGAGCGCCGGACUCAUAAUCCGUCGGUCCCUGGUUCGAAUCCAGGUGGG